RNAcentral lists this ribosomal RNA (279 nucleotides) under uncultured bacterium. RNAcentral's name for it is "partial 16S ribosomal RNA". It matches the Rfam family "Bacterial small subunit ribosomal RNA", at positions 506 to 784 of the family's 1533-position model. The record is from RNAcentral.
UGCCAGCCUCCGCGGUACUACUGGGUGUGCAAGCGUUGUUCGGAAUUAUUGGGCGUAAAGCGUGCGUAGGCGGACUGUUAAGUCUGAUGUGAAAUCCCGCGGCUCAACCGCGGACGUGCAUUGGAUACUGGCAGUCUCGAGUCCUGGAGAGGAGAGCGGAAUUCCUAGUGUAGAGGUGAAAUUCGUAGAUAUUAGGAGGAACACCAGUGGCGAAAGCGGCUCUCUGGACAGUGACUGACGCUGAGGCACGAAAGCAUAGGUAGCAAACAGGAUUAGAUA